UACCAUGCGUGCCCUUGAGGUGAUUGCCGGUUAGCCAUUCUUAAACGGGAAUCCGGUGCGUGGAUCGUCUUGGCGAGACGCAAUUCCGGAGCAGCCCGCGCAACGGUGGACGAGGUCAGAUGCCGCAACACGCCACUGCGCGCACGCAUGGGAAGGCGCGGCAUCGGAGGCGCAACCUUCCACUCGCGAGCCCGGAAACCGGCCUGAGGGAUUUACCCGGC
This 221-nucleotide non-coding RNA is filed under the name Xanthomonas fragariae. Lineage: Bacteria; Pseudomonadati; Pseudomonadota; Gammaproteobacteria; Lysobacterales; Lysobacteraceae. The record is from RNAcentral.